Chaetomium globosum CBS 148.51 is the source of this 73-nucleotide transfer RNA. It matches the Rfam family "tRNA". Rfam says of the family: Transfer RNA (tRNA) molecules are approximately 80 nucleotides in length. Lineage: Eukaryota; Fungi; Ascomycota; Sordariomycetes; Sordariales; Chaetomiaceae. The record is from Rfam.
AGCGCGUUAGCCUAAUUGGUAAGGCAUAGUGCUACGGAUACUCAUAUUAUGAGUUCGAAUCUCAUACGUGCUU